UAGAGUUUGAUCAUGGCUCAGGACGAACGCUGGCGGCGUGCCUAAUACAUGCAAGUCGAACGCGUCCCGGUUAAUGAAGUUGAGUGCUUGCGCUUGAUUGAUUUAACUUGGUGACGAGUGGCGAACUGGUGAGUAACACGUGGGUAACCUGCCCCGAAGCGGGGGAUAACAUUUGGAAACAGGUGCUAAUACCGCAUAACAAUCAAAACCACCUGGAUUUUGGUUUGAAAGACGGC
RNAcentral lists this ribosomal RNA (236 nucleotides) under uncultured bacterium. RNAcentral's name for it is "partial 16S ribosomal RNA". It matches the Rfam family "Bacterial small subunit ribosomal RNA", at positions 1 to 212 of the family's 1533-position model. The record is from RNAcentral.